This is a long non-coding RNA of Camponotus floridanus (Florida carpenter ant), 1350 nucleotides long. RefSeq lists it as uncharacterized. The record is from RefSeq and is a predicted model, not a curated record. The transcript is spliced from 5 exons. NCBI's taxonomy places the organism in Eukaryota, Metazoa, Arthropoda, Insecta, Hymenoptera, Formicidae.
GAUGGUUUUACCAUGGCAUCGAAAAAUAGAUCUGGCCAUGUAGUUCCAUCGGCUCUAAAAUGGAUUGCCACUGCGCGGCUUAGACCGUCACACAAAAAACGACGGCUCCUCUCAGUCUCCUCUCUGGAAAAAUGGCAGCAUGAUCAUGGCCACGAAGAUUAUGGAAGUAAGAGACCAUGAAGUAAGAGAGCAUGGCUCUGUGUGGCCUCUCUGCCGGAAUCAGGUAGGCCUUUAAUAAACAGCAGAAUUAAUUAACAUUUAGGCAUUUUUUGGAGCAUUUUAAGCAAGAAGAAUAAGUAAGCAACAGAAUAUGGAUCAUUGACAUAAGAGGCGAGCUAUGGAUAGAGAAAGCCUAUUCGUAAAAAAAGUAAAAUUUGAAUUAGGAUGUCUAGCUGCAAAUACUAAACUUGGAUCACAGCAGAUUCAUACUAUUCACGUGGAGGCAAUAAGAAAUAUAGAGCUCUUAGAUUGGACACAGAAAAUUUUUCUUGGGAUUCUAAAUGCAGUGGCAGAAAAAACUCAUAUUAACGAUAUUACAAUCAAACAAUGAAUGAAUACGAACCAAAACUUUGAUGAAAAAUGCCAUUGUUAUCAUUGAUGCAACAUCAUUCCGAGUGAUAUUAAAGUACUUAUGUCUUUCCAUUGGAUCGCCAAAGAGAGAAGUUUGCGGAAGCUGACUGAACUUAAACAUUUACGGAGCCAGUGAAUCGCUGAGCCGAAAGACUGCCUCGCCCAUGAUUUUUGAGCCAUGGUUUUCCCGUUUGGGCCAGAAAGCGAAUGCCGAGGCAGGGACUUGGGAAGUCCUUUUAAGACGAUGGGUUUACGGUGGAUAUCCCCCCCUUUUGUCUGAAAAAAGGCACGCAACGGGAAGAUGAGGACAAAAGGAUAGACUUGCGCCGAGCACGAAGAAGCUGACUAAAGGGAUGGAAGGCUGUCCUGGAGUCGAUUCUUGAGGGUCUGGCCAACUCACUGGAAGGAAUCGAUUGGGAGUCUGCCCAGUGGAUUGGGGCCUGGUCGGAGCGAUGCUCGUAACUUACAGCAACAGCUCAGGGAGAGCAGGAUAUUAGGGGUCCCUGAAAGUCCACGGAAAGUCACGAAACCCCUUGCUGAUUCGGGACGACAAUCUUGAAGAGGAGGGCAGUGUUACGCGCCCGAGCUGUUACGGCCCUGCCGUUAUCCGGAUUCCGUAGCCAAGAAGAAUGUUUAUAAACAACGAUAGUCAGCUGAGUUGGAAGAUAGUUGUCAAGCUAUACGGACGCAUUUUAUGUACGAGCCAUUAUUAAUCCGUUGUGUUAUUAUUCUGAGUUAUUAUUUGUGUUCUGUGUUGCUUAUUAAAGUUCUCUAAAAGUA